Molecule: ribosomal RNA, 481 nt
Filed under: uncultured bacterium
Lineage: Bacteria
Description: bacterial SSU rRNA
Rfam family: Bacterial small subunit ribosomal RNA
Source: RNAcentral
UGGCGGCAGGCCUAACACAUGCAAGUCGAGCGGUAACAGUUUCUAGCUUGCUAGAAGAUGACGAGCGGCGGACGGGUGAGUAACGCGUAGAAAUCUACCUAGUAGUGGGGGAUAGCCCAGAGAAAUUUGGAUUAAUACCGCAUACGCCCUACGGGGGAAAGCGGGGGAGUCUUCGGACCUCGUGCUAUUAGAUGAGUCUGCGUCGGAUUAGCUUGUUGGUGAGGUAAUGGCUCACCAAGGCGACGAUCCGUAGCUGGUCUGAGAGGAUGACCAGCCACACUGGAACUGAGACACGGUCCAGACUCCUACGGGAGGCAGCAGUGGGGAAUAUUGCACAAUGGGCGCAAGCCUGAUGCAGCCAUGCCGCGUGUGUGAAGAAGGCCUUAGGGUUGUAAAGCACUUUCAGCAGUGAGGAAAGGGGUGUCGUUAAUAGCGCCAUCCUGUGACGUUAACUGCAGAAGAAGGACCGGCUAACUCCGUG